UACGGAGGUAGAGAACUGAAUGUCCUAGGGGGUAUUGCACCUACCGAAGACUAUCAAACUCCGAAUGCCGUCAUCUUAUACUUGGGAGUCAGACUGUGGGUGAUAAGAUUCAUAGUCGAAAGGGCAACAGCCCAGAUCGUCAGCUAAGGUCCCUAAAUGUAAGUGAAGUGGUAAAGGAUGUGGGAUUGCACAGACAACCAGGAUGUUGGCUUAGAAGCAGCCACUCAUUCAAAGAGUGCGUAAUAGCUCACUGGUCGAGUGAUCCUGCGCCGAAGAAUUCCGGGGCUAAAACUUACUAC
Molecule: ribosomal RNA, 299 nt
Filed under: Clostridioides difficile
Lineage: Bacteria; Bacillati; Bacillota; Clostridia; Peptostreptococcales; Peptostreptococcaceae
Description: partial 23S ribosomal RNA
Rfam family: Bacterial large subunit ribosomal RNA
Source: RNAcentral